ACUACGGGUGGCAGCAGUGGGGAAUAUUGCUCAAUGGGGGAGACCCUGAAGCAGCAACGCCGCGUGAAGGAUGAAGGUUUUAGGGUUGUAAACUCCUUUUGUUAGGGAAGAUAAUUCCGGUAUGUCACGGAUAAGCACCGGCUAACUCCGUGCAAGCAGCCGCGAUAAUACGGGGGGUGCAGGCGUUACUCGGAUUGCCUGGGCGUAAAGAGUGCGCAGGCGGGCUUGUACGUCCGAUGUGAAAUCCUGCAGCUUAACCACAGAACUGAAUUUGAAACUAGGAGUCUAGAGUGUGGGAGAGGUAGGUGGAAUUCGUGGUGUAGGGGUAAAAUCCGUAGAUAUCACGAGGAAUACUGAUUGCGAAGGCGACCUACUGGAACAUUACUGACGCUCAUGCACGAAAGUGUGGGGAUCAAACAGGAUUAGAUACCCCUGUAGUC
RNAcentral lists this ribosomal RNA (440 nucleotides) under uncultured bacterium. Its description in RNAcentral is "partial 16S ribosomal RNA". It matches the Rfam family "Bacterial small subunit ribosomal RNA", at positions 338 to 795 of the family's 1533-position model. The record is from RNAcentral.